This 490-nucleotide ribosomal RNA is filed under the name uncultured bacterium. RNAcentral's name for it is "partial 16S ribosomal RNA". It matches the Rfam family "Bacterial small subunit ribosomal RNA", at positions 30 to 507 of the family's 1533-position model. The record is from RNAcentral.
AUUGAACGCUGGCGGCAUGCCUUACACAUGCAAGUCGAACGGCAGCAUGAUCUAGCUUGCUAGAUUGAUGGCGAGUGGCGAACGGGUGAGUAAUACAUCGGAACGUGCCCUGUAGUGGGGGAUAACUAGUCGAAAGAUUAGCUAAUACCGCAUACGACCUGAGGGUGAAAGUGGGGGACCGCAAGGCCUCAUGCUAUAGGAGCGGCCGAUGUCUGAUUAGCUAGUUGGUGAGGUAAAGGCUCACCAAGGCGACGAUCAGUAGCUGGUCUGAGAGGACGAUCAGCCACACUGGGACUGAGACACGGCCAAGACUACUACGGGAGGCAGCAGUGGGGAAUUUUGGACAAUGGGCGCAAGCCUGAUCCAGCAAUGCCGCGUGUGUGAAGAAGGCCUUCGGGUUGUAAAGCACUUUUGUCCGGAAAGAAAUGGCUCUGGUUAAUACCUGGGGUGGAUGACGGUACCGGAAGCAUACGGACCGGCUAAGUACGUG